Carassius gibelio (silver crucian carp) is the source of this 1254-nucleotide long non-coding RNA. RefSeq lists it as uncharacterized. The record is from RefSeq and is a predicted model, not a curated record. The transcript is spliced from 3 exons. NCBI's taxonomy places the organism in Eukaryota, Metazoa, Chordata, Actinopteri, Cypriniformes, Cyprinidae.
GUCACAGUGUGACAAAUGGCAUGUGGAACUUAUUCCCGCUGAAGCAGUGUUCCCGGGGGAACGCUUUGAGUGUAACUCUGUUCCCAGGCCUGUGUGUGUGUUUGUUGCUGUGACAACCCCAAAUGAUGGAUUGGCAACAGGUGUGGGGGAUUUACUCAGAGUUUGCGUGAGGCCUCAUCAACAGUGGAGAGGAUAAAAAGCAAGAGAGAGAGGUGGUGCGUGUGGUUUUUCUCCCUUGUGAAAAGUCGUUUUAUUGGGUGGUAAUAGUUACUGGAGGACGGGUGAAUGAAGAGGACAGUGUUGCUUGAUGAGGGAUUCGAGAACAACAGCAGGAGAGCGAAUUACCCUGUUUGCAUUGGAGAGGAGCUGAGUAACUGAGAACUGAGUCUUGUAAUUGCACACGUUUGACACUGAAUUGGAUGUGGUUUGGAGUGUUUGGAUCACGAUCAUAAAUAUCACUGAGUGGAUUGUAUUGAUUCAUUACCGAUCUCUUACCUCUCCCUCCUCUAUAAAUGGUGAUGUGAACUCUGCCUGUGACUGUGAAGAAAAACAUCUCAGAACAUCCUCCGUGGCAGUGAGGAUUGCGCCCUCCCCCUUCCCUUCGGACAGAAACCCGAAUGAGAAGAGAUGCCCUGUUAAAAUAUUUACUAUCUGCCUCAGAAAAGCUCUGUGCAACCUGUUGACUUCGAGUCUGCUGUAUUCCUGCCAUUCAACUGUAUGGUGAGAGGUGUUCGCUCCUUCCAAUACAUGUGAAUUGUAUACUUGCCUGAAACAUCCAUUCUGUCUGUCUCAGAAGAAGCCCCAUUCAGCCUGUUGACUUCGAGUCUGCUGUAUCCCUGCCAUUCAACUGUAUGGUGAGAGGUGUUCGCUCCUUCCAAUACAUGUGAAUUGUAUACUUGCCUGAAACAUCCAUUCUGUCUGUCUCAGAAGAAGCCCCAUUCAGCCUGUUGACUUCGAGUCUGCUGUAUCCCUGCCAUUCAACUGUAUGAAGAAGCCCAUAUUCAGCCUGUUGACUUCGAGUCUGCUGUAUCCCUGCCAUUCAACUGUAUGAAGAAGCCCCAUUCAGCCUGUUGACUUCGAGCCUGCUGUAUCCCUGCUACUCAUCUGUAUGAGGAAGCCCCAUUCAGCCUGUUGACUUCGAGUCUGCUGUAUCCCUGCUAUUCAUCCGUAUUGUGAGAAGUGUUCGUUCCUUCCAACGCAUGUGAACUGUAUACUUUGUCUGAAGCAUCCAUUCUGCCUGUUUCAGUAGAAACC